RNAcentral lists this ribosomal RNA (253 nucleotides) under uncultured bacterium. RNAcentral's name for it is "partial 16S ribosomal RNA". It matches the Rfam family "Bacterial small subunit ribosomal RNA", at positions 524 to 776 of the family's 1533-position model. The record is from RNAcentral.
UACAGAGGGGGCGAGCGUUGUUCGGAGUUACUGGGCGUAAAGGGCGCGUAGGCGGCCUUCUAAGUCGAACGUGAAAUCCCCGGGCUCAACCCGGGAACUGCGUCCGAUACUGGGAGGCUUGAAUCCGGGAGAGGGAUGUGGAAUUCCAGGUGUAGCGGUGAAAUGCGUAGAUAUCUGGAGGAACACCGGUGGCGAAGGCGGCAUCCUGGACCGGUAUUGACGCUGAGGCGCGAAAGCCAGGGGAGCAAACGGG